Molecule: ribosomal RNA, 414 nt
Filed under: uncultured prokaryote
Description: bacterial SSU rRNA
Rfam family: Bacterial small subunit ribosomal RNA
Source: RNAcentral
GUGUCAGCAGCCGCGGUAAUACGGAGGGGGCAAGCGUUGUUCGGAAUUACUGGGCGUAAAGGGCGCGUAGGCGGACGGCCAAGUCAGAGGUGAAAGGCCCGGGCUCAACCUGGGACGUGCCUUUGAAACUGGUUGUCUUGAGUGCGGGAGAGGGUGACGGAAUUCCCAGUGUAGAGGUGAAAUUCGUAGAUAUUGGGAAGAACACCGGUGGCGAAGGCGGUCACCUGGCCCGCAACUGACGCUGAGGCGCGAAAGCGUGGGGAGCAAACAGGAUUAGAUACCCUGGUAGUCCACGCCGUAAACGAUGUGCGCUAGCCGUCGGGGGACCUAGUCUCUCGGUGGCGCAGUUAACGCGUUAAGCGCACCGCCUGGGGAGUACGGCCGCAAGGUUAAAACUUAAAUGAAUUGACGGGG